This 392-nucleotide ribosomal RNA is filed under the name uncultured eukaryote. Its description in RNAcentral is "SSU rRNA". It matches the Rfam family "Eukaryotic small subunit ribosomal RNA", at positions 594 to 945 of the family's 1831-position model. The record is from RNAcentral.
AUAGCGUAUAUUAAAGUUGUUGCGGUUAAAAAGCUCGUAGUUGAAUCUGUGUGCCACGCUGUCGGUUCAUCGCUCGCGAUGUUUAACUGACAUGAUUGUGGGACGUCCUACCGGUGGGCUUAGCUCCUCACGGGGCGGUCCAGCUAAUAUCCCAUCGCGGUGCUCUUCAUCGAGUGUCGAGGUGGGCCGGUACGUUUACUUUGAACAAAUUAGAGUGCUCAAAGCAGGCUAUGUUCGCCUGAAUACUGUGUGCAUGGAAUAAUGGAAUAGGACCUCGGUUCUAUUUUGUUGGUUUUCGGAACCCCGAGGUAAUGAUUAAUAGGGACAGAUGGGGGCAUUCGUAUUGCGACGUUAGAGGUGAAAUUCUUGGAUCGUCGCAAGACGAACAGAAG